This 450-nucleotide ribosomal RNA is filed under the name uncultured bacterium. RNAcentral describes it as "bacterial SSU rRNA". It matches the Rfam family "Bacterial small subunit ribosomal RNA", at positions 354 to 796 of the family's 1533-position model. The record is from RNAcentral.
GUGGGGAAUAUUGGACAAUGGGCGCAAGCCUGAUCCAGCCAUACCGCGUGGGUGAAGAAGGCCUUCGGGUUGUAAAGCCCUUUUGUUGGGAAAGAAAUCCUGUCGGUUAAUACCUGGCGGGGAUGACGGUACCCAAAGAAUAAGCACCGGCUCACUUCGUGCCAGCAGCCGCGGUAAUACGAAGGGUGCAAGCGUUACUCGGAAUUACUGGGCGUAAAGCGUGCAUAGGUGGUGGUUUAAGUCCGUUGUGAAAGCCCUGGGCUCAACCUGGAAAUUGCGGUGGAUACGGGAUGACUAGAGUGUGGUAGAGGGAUGCGGAAUUUCUGGUGUAGCAGUGAAGUGCGUAGAGAUCAGAAGGAACAUCCGUGGCGAAGGCGGCAUCCUGGGCCAACACUGACACUGAGGCACGAAAGCGUGGGGAGCAAACAGGAUUAGAAACCCCAGUAGUCC